RNAcentral lists this ribosomal RNA (256 nucleotides) under uncultured bacterium. Its description in RNAcentral is "partial 16S ribosomal RNA". It matches the Rfam family "Bacterial small subunit ribosomal RNA", at positions 521 to 776 of the family's 1533-position model. The record is from RNAcentral.
UAAUACGUAGGGUGCAAGCGUUGUCCGGAAUUAUUGGGCGUAAAGAGCUCGUAGGCGGUCUGUCGCGUCUGCUGUGAAAACUCGGGGCUCAACCCCGGGCCUGCAGUGGGUACGGGCAGACUAGAGUGCGGUAGGGGAGACUGGAAUUCCUGGUGUAGCGGUGAAAUGCGCAGAUAUCAGGAGGAACACCGGUGGCGAAGGCGGGUCUCUGGGCCGUAACUGACGCUGAGGAGCGAAAGCAUGGGGAGCGAACAGG